RNAcentral lists this ribosomal RNA (466 nucleotides) under uncultured bacterium. Its description in RNAcentral is "partial 16S ribosomal RNA". It matches the Rfam family "Bacterial small subunit ribosomal RNA", at positions 28 to 507 of the family's 1533-position model. The record is from RNAcentral.
GAUGAACGCUGGCGGCGUGCUUAACACAUGCAAGUCGAACGGAAAGGCUCCUGCUUGCAGGGGUACUCGAGUGGCGAACGGGUGAGUAACACGUGGGUGAUCUGCCCUGCACUUCGGGAUAAGCCUGGGAAACUGGGUCUAAUACCGGAUAGGACGAUGGUUUGGAUGCCAUUGUGGAAAGUUUUUUCGGUGUGGGAUGAGCUCGCGGCCUAUCAGCUUGUUGGUGGGGUAAUGGCCUACCAAGGCGUCGACGCGUAGCCGGCCUGAGAGGGUGUACGGCCACAUUGGGACUGAGAUACGGCCCAGACUCCUACGGGAGGCAGCAGUGGGGAAUAUUGCACAAUGGGCGCAAGCCUGAUGCAGCGACGCCGCGUGGGGGAUGACGGCCUUCGGGUUGUAAACUCCUUUCGCUAGGGACGAAGCGCAAGUGACGGUACCUGGAGAAGAAGCACCGGCUAACUACGUG